Anas platyrhynchos (mallard) is the source of this 2289-nucleotide long non-coding RNA. RefSeq lists it as uncharacterized. The record is from RefSeq and is a predicted model, not a curated record. Lineage: Eukaryota; Metazoa; Chordata; Aves; Anseriformes; Anatidae.
AUGUCUCACACAGCUACGUAAACGGCCUGAUAUGGGCAGAACCCUGGAUUCAGUUUAAAAGUCUGUGGUGCUCCAAGAAAAGCAACUGAUGCUUUGACAACCGUGUCUUAAAUGGAACUAACAAUUACCCAGGUUUGAAAUUAUUUUAUUCCCUUUAACCAAAGAACUACUGCAGCAAUGGAGAUUCAGACACUUUAACAGCACAGCAGCAAUUGGAAGCCUCAUCUUUGCAUGCAGACAGUGGAAUGAAGAGUGAUUCUGUUCUGCGGACAACAAAGCGAGCUGUUCAGGCUGACUGCCCUUUGAGAGCAGCUUGCUGCAAGAUAACGUGUGAGAUAAGGCAUUGCACUGACUCUUUUUCCUGUUACAAGUCGAUGCUUGUGCAGUGAUCAACCUGCUUCUUUAAGUUAGACACGACAGAAGGAAGACGGUAACUUCUGGGAAUAACAGAGAACUGGGAAAAACACACUUCUGCAAAGUUUUGAUUUCCUACCACUGGUGCCCUUGAAACAGAGAAAAGUGAAUUUGAGCACCUGUGACAGAGAACAUGAUUUUAUAAGAGGCGCGUGUUACUUCGGAGUGCACAAGGAAACUGUUGAAAAAGGCAUGUACACCAGGAUGAUGUUAAUGGGACAAGAAACUACAAACCCAUGCUGAGACAUGAGCUACAGGUCUAUGUAAAGAGUUCAUCUGAGCUGGCUACCACUGAAUACUUGUGUUGAGCUACAUCAGAUGGAAAACAUCUUUUUCAAGUCUUAUUUAAGUGCACUUCAGUAUUUGCCUCAAGGGAAGUGGCUCUUCCGGGUAUUUACAUAAGGUCAGAUCCUGUCACAGACCUAUUUGCCUCUUGGCACAAAUGUCACCACGAGUAUGCCUUAAGGAAAUACAGCCAUAAAGAGGAAAGCUUGAGUGUUAUGACUCAGCAACAUAAAAGUGGCCCAAUGAAAGAAGAGCUUGAAAACUAUUAUUAAUGGAUGGGAAAUUAUUUGGAAAAAAACAUUUGAUGAAGCAGAAUAUUUUUAGAUGAUUAUUUUAAAUGAUUGCUUGGUAGGUAACUCAAGAGUGCCCACAAAGGUCAACAAGAACAUUUCCACUGACCUCCAAGAGGUAGGAUCAGAUGGCAAAUAUACUGGGACUUCCAAAGAAGUACGGACUGGAAGCGAAAUUUUGUGCGCACAUUUUUGAACUUCCCAACCACAGCUGUUUGUAAUCCAUAUUCAGCAUAAAUAUUUCAUCUUCAGAAGUGCUAGGCAUUAAGACAGUGAGCUGAGCUCUCACAGGGUCUACUGAGGUUCAUUCCUGGCACUAUAGCUUGAAAAUGUUUGUUUUAAUCAUUUAAAUACACGCAUAGAUAGCCUUCAUCAGAGUGAAAGUCUGCUCUUCCAUGAACAAAUACAGAUGAAUUAGACUACAUGAACUACAUUAAACUGCAUUAAAACACAUAACGAAAUCAUGUAACAGAAAGGUGAGCAGUCAUUUUCUCCAGUGGUUAAAGGGCAUCAGUUCUGUCCAGCCUUAGUAACUCCAUCUGUUCAUAUUUUUAUAAAGUUUCCAGAAAAAGUGACAUUAGUGUUCCUUGUUUCAAGGUGGCUUGUUACAUAUUCUUUUUUACAGAAUGAAGCAAAUGUGGACUUUGACUUGAAAACUUUAUUACUAACACUGUUUACCAAUAAACUUUAUUACUGAAGUGCCUUUAGAAAAGAGAAAUGCCAGGCAGGUUUACCCAUCACUUUUAAUGUUUGUCUUGGAUUUAUCAUACCCUAAAGCCAAGCAUUCUGGGAUGUUGGAGGCAAAUACCCAUUGAAGUCAACUCUCCUUGAAGAGUAAAUCAUUGCCAUUCUUCCAUCUCUCUUGAGAUGCUCAAAAAAUGUAGAAGAAAUUCCAACUCAGGAAAAUUUCAAGCUGUCUCAAGUUUGUGUUCCUUAUUAUUAACUCCCAGCCUUAUACACAAGACACAAAAGUCCAUGGGGCUCAGCACAGGCUAGUGUGUUCCAAUACCAGGCAGCAAUAGCCUCAGUCUCAGAGCAGUGAAUUUGCAUCAAAAAUGAAUUUUACCAAGCUUAGCUGAGGUUUUUAAAGUUUUCCUGAGUUUAAGUAUGUGUAAUGGUUAGUGAACAAAGUCCUGUUCUUAUGGUAGAUGUCAAGAUACUAUUCAAAUAUAAAUAGAGAUGGGGGAGGAAAAAAUCUGAAUAAGAGCCUCUUUCAGAAAUGAAAAGUUGGAUUUCUUCCUUUUCUUUUCCAAGUGAUGCAAAGACCAAUAGUAAAUUGCUUAGAAUUGCUGAAAAUAAA